GUCCCGAUCACUACUGCGUCUUUAGUUUUCAUGUUCCUCUUUUGCUGCUCUUCCAGCAUUUUCCUCUUUCGCCUGUCAUUUCACGUACGGCUCUUCAUCUUCUGCACAUGCAGGCCAGCUUACGACCUUGUCAGCUAUCACUUUGUCUGUCCUCCUUUCCUGCGUACACUGGUCCGGUUUCCACGUGCGUUUCCAGUUUCUUUGUUACCCUUUUGUGUCCCUUUUUAUUUUUGUUGCCCGUUUGCCUUUCUGGCCCCUUUCAAAAGCUCCGCGCCCGGGCCGCAUGUUUCGCAAAACAAAAUCUGCUUGUAUCGGGUACAGUUUCCAGAACGAAAUUCUGCUCUCCGACUGAACUGGAAACAGGACGUCUUUCACGUGUUGGCGGACUGUCGAGUGUGCAUAUUGUUGGAGCUAAAAAAAAAAAAUGCUUUAUUUGACUGAUCUUAAUGUAAUCGUCUGCCAACAUUUCUAAGAAAAGAACCUUUGGCUUUUGGUAGGCAGUGCCGCUUUGAGUAAAGCUGAAGCUGCUGCCAUGUUUUGUUUGUAGGGCAGGAUUAACUUGGCAUGACAGCAAUAAGAGGUCCAUUGGGAUGCCAUUAGAUAUUACCAUCUGGUUGGCAGAUCCACGUCUGACUGCAUGGCAAGAAAUUCACCAAUCACAGAUCUUCAGGAGACUGCAGGAAGACUCCCUUCAAAUGUUUCAACCAUAAAUAUGCUUGCGAGACAAAGUAAAUAUGAUUCAAAUGUACAUUUGGUGCUCUGUGUUAUAUUUAAAAAGUUGUAUUAAAGGCAAAUUUAAAUUUUU
Molecule: long non-coding RNA, 805 nt
Organism: Poecilia latipinna (sailfin molly)
Lineage: Eukaryota; Metazoa; Chordata; Actinopteri; Cyprinodontiformes; Poeciliidae
Exons: 2
Source: RefSeq, a predicted model, not a curated record